RNAcentral lists this ribosomal RNA (329 nucleotides) under Penicillium oxalicum. RNAcentral describes it as "partial large subunit ribosomal RNA". It matches the Rfam family "Eukaryotic large subunit ribosomal RNA", at positions 215 to 603 of the family's 3401-position model. The record is from RNAcentral. Lineage: Eukaryota; Fungi; Ascomycota; Eurotiomycetes; Eurotiales; Aspergillaceae.
CCCCCCCCGUUUUUGACGUGGGCGGUUGGUUUUUGCUGAGCGGUUUUUGAACACGUGUCCUCCCAGACCGAUAGUGAACAAGUAGAGUGAUCGAAAGAUGAAAAGCACUUUGAAAAGAGAGUUAAACAGCACGUGAAAUUGUUGAAAGGGGAGCGCUUGGGUCUAGACUGGCCCACGGGGUUCUGCCGGCAUUCGUGCCGGUGUACUUCGCCGCGGGCGGGCCAGCGUCGGUUUGGGCGGCCGGUCAAAGGCCCUCGGAAUGUAUCGCCCCCCGGGGCGUCUUAUAGCCGAGGGUGUCAUGUUUCCAGCCCAUACCGAGGAAUUUGAUU